Long non-coding RNA from Oncorhynchus nerka (sockeye salmon), 5772 nucleotides. RefSeq lists it as uncharacterized. NCBI's taxonomy places the organism in Eukaryota, Metazoa, Chordata, Actinopteri, Salmoniformes, Salmonidae. The transcript is spliced from 2 exons. The record is from RefSeq and is a predicted model, not a curated record.
GCAGGUUAGGAAACACUGCAGGUUAGGAAACACCAUGUGGUAGUGCAGGUUAGGAAACACUGCAGGUUAGGAAACACCAGGUGGUAGAGCAGGUUAGGAAACACUGCAGGUUAGGAAACACCAGGUGGUAGAGCAGGUUAGGAAACACUGCAGGUUAGGAAACACCAGGUGGUAGUGCAGGUUAGGAAACACUGCAGGUUAGGAAACACCAGGUGGUAGAGCAGGUUAGGAAACACUGCAGGUUAGGAAACACCAUGUGGUAGAGCAGGUUAGGAAACACUGCAGGUUAGGAAACACUGCAGGUUAGGAAACACUGCAGGUUAGGAAAGACUGCAGGUUAGGAAACACUGCAGGUUAGGAAACACUGCAGGUUAGGAAAGACUGCAGGUUAGGAAACACUGCAGGUUAGGAAACACUGCAGGUUAGGAAACACUGCAGGUUAGGAAACACCAUGUGGUAGUGCAGGUUAGGAAACACUGCAGGUUAGGAAACACCAGGUGGUAGAGCAGGUUAGGAAAGACUGCAGGUUAGGAAACACUGCAGGUUAGGAAACACUGCAGGUUAGGAAAGACUGCAGGUUAGGAAACACUGCAGGUUAGGAAACACUGCAGGUUAGGAAACACUGCAGGUUAGGAAAGACUUAGUGGCCUAGAGGAUAACUACUUUAAAAAAAAAAUAGAAUAUCCACUCCAACAUUUGGAAAUGGACUUCAUUGAACUAUUCCGAAGUGAGGGAAAGAAGGGGUGUUUAACAAUAAUAUAUACGUAUAUUAAAGGGGUAGAAGCAUCCCCAACUUACUUGAUGGACAUGAUUAUGUUAGUUAAAAUAUUAGGUCAAGAUAUUAUCCCGAGAGUUGGUUUACUAGGAUCUAUUUCUUUAAAUAAUGGAUGACAUUCUAGCUAAUCAGGUAAAACAAAUAGAAUGCCAGAAUUAGGGACCAGAACAGGUAGACAUAGAAGUUGAAGAUAUACUAGCAGAACACAUGACUGUUUGUUAACCAAACCUGUAUGUCCAAGAUUUUGUGUCAAACAGGUGAAUUACAGGAGAAGGUGAUUCACUCAAUCCAACCAGAAGACUGGGUGUGGAUCCAGUCCCUGAGGAGAAUAUAUGGGAAGCAGCCCCGUUGGGAAGACCCAUACCAGGUUCUGUUAAACAGACUAGCUGAGAGAGUCAUGUUACCCACUGCAACGAGGUAUGUACACAUAUGAGCACUGCUGAUCACACACAGAGUUAGGAGAAGAACCGAGUACCAACAGGGUCCGAAGAUUUCCUAUCCCGACCGUUCAUCACUGUGGGUGAUCCUAGAAGUGUGAGUAUGCGGUGGUACCUAGCAGACAGACUAAGGACAGGAGAGAGUUGGUGGUUUUUGGGAAGAGUAGGGGCUCUGAGCUGCAUCAGUCUUGGUAACCUUUCUGAUACAUCCAGAUCCACCACCUUCCUGUACUAAUUAUAUGACACCGUUGUCAUUGAUCUUGUCACGAACCGGCUCAAAGCCCGUAACAAAGGGAGACAACGUGGAGAUAAGGCGUAGCAAAAUAUAUAUUUAUUAAAUAAGUAACUAAGUAUAAUAUACAAUGGUGUGUGUAAUCAGUAAUCAGUAGUGUAAGUGAGUGUUUUGCAUGCAUGAAUGUGAUAAUGCAGGGUGAUGAAAGGUGCCAAAGCAAACAAAUAAAAGGCCACCAAGAACCACAACACAAUCUACAAAGGUGUCUGCAUGGAGAGAGUCUCUUCCAUGAAUGUGGAAGAGGUCUAUUUAUCCUGGGAGACACCUGGCCCAGGUGUUUCCCAUGUAGCUGACGACCCUCUCAACUCCGCCCACCGGCAUCCUAAUAAGGAAACAAGAACAAAGACAGAAUACGGCAGACAGAGUGGGAGGGUCGUCACAAUAAGAAGUAAUAGAUAAACUAUAUAAUACACUGAUGAGUGACUUACAGAGUAAGGAUUCAAAGAAGAUCAAGGUGUAUGAUUUAAGGUAAACAUUAAACAAUUCCCUAGGAAAACAAAUAACUUUACAGGGAUUCGGUUGGACAGAAGUUCUUGGCCAACCCACCUCGGUUCACUUUAACUCCUGAUGAGUACCAGUGUUAUAGAUACAAGAAUGGCACCAAGAACUCAGAUGAUUUUAAUGGCUGAAAGGUAAUCGUUAAUGUGACUGACUUAAGUUAAGAAGUACAGGAGGAAAUUCUUAACCUCACAGCACCUAUAACUGAUGUAGGGUGGGCACGGACCAACAAAGGACGCAUACGACAGAAACGACCAAAAAGGGUGGUUAGGAACUUGCGCCCCGGGGUUAUUGGUCCAACUAGUUUGAGUUAGUCAUCAGAGGCCAGUUAAAGGAGGCUAAAGUAGGCACAGGAGGAGUCUAGAUGGAUACUAUUGGCAUCCUCAGGGAAGUUCCAGAUGAAUCAAAUAGGUGAAGGCUUUACCACUACCUUAUUUUGGUGGUUGACAAUAAAUACAAAUGUGGAUUGGAUUAAUUACAUCUAUUAUAAUCAACAGAGAUUUGUGAAUGAUACUGGGGAUGCAGUAAAGGGGUUCUCUGACCAAUUAUCCGCCACCUCCCUCAUGACCUGGUAAAAUAGACUGACUCUCGAUAUGUUAUUGGCAGAAAAGGGCGGGUAUGUAGAAUGAUUGGGGUUCAUUGCUGUACGUUUAUUUUUUAAUAACACAGCUCCAGAUGGAUCAGUGACCAAGGCACUGGCAGGUUUUACCAUUGUCGUGUCUUUGGCUAUGCCGGAUUAAUUCCUAAAACAUACAAUUCUAUAAAAUAAUAUCACCUUAUUGAGCUAAUCAUGUAAAUGUAAUUAACUAGAGAGUCAGGCACCACAAAAUAAUAUUUAUAGAGCUGUUAUCUUCCGAAUAAACUCUUAAAGAUCUUGUAAUAUUUUACAUCAAUAGCAGUCAAUAUCUAUCGUCAUCUUACUUCAGUCUCAUAAUCUGAAAGUUGAAAAUUCUUGGUUAUCUGCAAGAACCCUGGCUAACAAGUUGAAUCAGCAAUACAAAAUUGGGUUUAAUUAUUUAUAUACUAAAUACCUAACUAAUCACACAGAAUUCACAUACACAAAGAAUGAAUUAUGCCUGGAUAAUUCUUUACGUCAUAGGAAAACAUCCCUAGUGGGCGGAACAGAUAUGACAGCUUGUUACACAAAGGAAAAGGGGCUGGGUUGAGUGAAAGAGCGGGAAGACAGGAACAAAGGCGAAGCUGUGCUAUCGUAAUUACAGUAUCUUAUGCAUUCUAAAUUACUGCCCAUUUGGAAAAGGAAAAUGCAAUACAUUUUUACUCUGAGCUGUGCUUCAGUAGGUUGGUGGUAGAUGGAAGACUGUGUUGCCAAACCGAGUCCUCUGUCCUUUAAAGAAUGUCUCUGGUGGUCACUUGGAUAAGUUGUAGUAACGUCGAUGUGUGGUAGAUGGGAUACUCUGUCUGUUCCUUCCUAACCUGCGUUUGUAGCUGCGGUCGCUAACUCAACGGCUAGGAGGUAUCACUUCUGUCGUGAAUAAGUGUUCAAAGUUCAUACCAUUUGCAACCAAAGUUCAUGCUGAUGUUGGCUACGUUCUGUAGUUUUAUCUGAACCAUUCUGACAUAGGAUCGUCAUCCUGCCUCAUCAGAACAGGAAGUUCAAUUGUCGUCAAGGCUUUAUAUAGGAAGGCAGAAAAGGGGUGUGGUUCAUAGUUUACAACCUCUGUCUCUUCACGUGGGCGGGCCACUGAGUGAGCAGCAAUAUCUUAUGAAAAACCACAUCUCACAUUUUAGAAGCUAAAACCACAUUUCAUCCAAUCACAAAUAAUUUCAUAUUCAAACAUUUAAAUUGAACAACAAUUCCAUGUGAAUCCGAUAACUCUGAUGUGUAGACUUUCCACUGUAGAGUUUGUCAUCUUAUCAUUGAUGAGAAUGUCUCAGAUGACAACCGAACUGACAUCAUAUUCAUUAAGUACCACCGCAUAUGUUCAAUUGUUCAGAUUACCAGAAUAUAGUUCAUUUCCCCCCACAUUCUGACGUUCCCAGAAUCUCUUUGUUAACCAAGGGUUUUGCAAAUGUAACCUCAAUAGGGUAGAGAGAGGAAAAAGGGGGGAAGAGGUAUUUAUGACUGUCAUAAACCUACCCCCCAGGCCAACAUCAUGACACUGCAUUAGCUCAUGAGUUAGCAGAGAACUCUGGGGUGGAUAUUUCCCUGACAGGGUGGUUUGACAGUAUGUUUGGGAAAUGGAAAAAUGCCAUAAUCAAUGUGUUGUGCGCAACUUUCACCUGUAUGCGUGUUUUGGUUCUGUGUGGAUGUUGUUUGGUCCCAUGUGUGAGAGGUUUAAUCACCAGAACUCUAGAGUGAUCGAUGACGCAACAGAUGGUGAGAUAUGGGCCGAUUCCGAGCUCCGACCAGUGGGAUGACGAAUACAGGCUUCCAGGCCUAGGAGAUGGCCCGUUUCUUUUAACUACGAGGAGCCAAUGUUAGAUGAGACUAUUUUCAAUGUUUAGACAAGACUGUUCAAUUAAUGAAGAUUAUAAUAAAACUCUUUCAAAAGAGUUAUGAUUGGAUAUAGGCUUGGAACAGUCAUUGAUGAGUAAUCGAAUGUAAAUACAUGUAUUGGUUUGGUUUAUUCUUGUAUAACAUUUAUGUUUCCAUAUAGUGUUUGAUGUAUCAGUGUGUAUUAUUUAGUCAUUAAGGGUGGAUUGAUAAGGGAAUUAUUAAUUAUUAUUAAACCCAUGGUUUUAUAGAUCUCUGGGAUUGGUCAGAGCUAUUGAUGGUCAGUUAUUAUCAUUGGGAUUGAAAAUUCUCUUGACAAUACAGCAAAUCCUCCCCCAUAAGCAUUUAUGUCUCUUCUAUAAAUGUUAUAUCCUUGUAUUGCUACUGAUGUAUCAUCAAAUUAAUUAUCUAAGUGAGUCUCAGAAAUGGCUAAUAUAUGAAUGUUAUGUUAGCAAGUUACUGAUUUCAUGAACCUUAUUUCUAAGGCUACAUAUAUUAAUAUGGGCUACUUUCAGCCCUUUCCUGGGUAGCUUAUCAGAGAUAGACAUAAUAUUGAAAAGAGCAGACUAAGCAAGAGAAAAAAAUACAUUCAGCAGUCCAUUAAUCAAUUGUUGUGUGUGUGUAUGUAUGUGUGUGUGUGCGUGCUGCGGAGUUGAGGCUAUGAACCCAUAGGCUUGGCUCUCUCAUCCCUUCCAGGCUUCUGGACUGAUGUCAUCUUGCCGUUCUGUUUCAACUUGUCGAGCUGACACUGGGAGAACUGCACUGUUCUUCAGGUCCUGGACCUCUCUGAUCCUUGAUGAACAGAGCAAAGUACAGAGAGAUCCUUGAUGAAAACCUGCUCCAUAGUACUCAGGACCAGACUGGGGCAAAGUUUUACCUUCCAACAGGACAAUGACCCUAAGCACACAGCCAAGACAAAACGGGAGUGGCUUCGGGACAAGUCUCUGAAUGUCCUUGAGUGGCUCAGCCAGAGUCCGGACUUGAACAUCUCUGGAGAGCACUGAAAAUAGCUGUGCAGCAAUGUUCCCCACCCAACCUGAGAGAUUGAGAGGAUCUGCAGAGAGAAACUGCCCAAAUACAAGUGUCAAGCUUGUAGCGUCAUACCAAAGAAGACUUAAGCAGUAAUCGUUGCCAAAGGUGCUUCAACAAAGCACUGAGGGUCUGAAUACUUUAAAUUUACAUUUUUGUAUAAAUUUGCACAAAAAAAUCUAAGAACCUGUUUUGCUUUGUCAUUGUGGUGUAUUGUGUGUAGAUUGAGGGGGAAGAACUCAAUUUUAGAAUAAGGCUAUAACGUAAUAAAAUGUUGAAAAGUCAA